RNAcentral lists this long non-coding RNA (338 nucleotides) under Phoenix dactylifera (date palm). RNAcentral describes it as "long non-coding RNA (PDAC_LNC000233)". Lineage: Eukaryota; Viridiplantae; Streptophyta; Magnoliopsida; Arecales; Arecaceae. The record is from RNAcentral.
GAAGAUGAAGAUGAACUUGAAGCAUGUGUGUAUUUUUUCUGUGCAAUGAAUGAAAAAAUAGAUGACGAACGAGAACUACUAGAAGAAGAAAUAGAGCUUUGUACGGAGAAUCUAGAUCCACGAAUUUUUUCAUCAUAUAUAGGAUAAAUAUCAUAAAGAAGUUGUGUUACCUCAAUUUUAGCAGGUUCAGGAUUUUGAAUCAUAUUUUCACAAUAUGCAUCAAGUAAAAUUAGUAAGCCAUUCAAUUUAACUCUUGGAUCAAAUACAGCAGCUAAGUUAUGCAUAGGACAUAUCUUAUCCCAAUACUCAUUCCAUUUAGAUUCCAUUUGUUCAAUAAU